Molecule: transfer RNA, 536 nt
Filed under: uncultured cyanobacterium
Lineage: Bacteria; Bacillati; Cyanobacteriota
Description: partial contains 16S ribosomal RNA, 16S-23S ribosomal RNA intergenic spacer, and 23S ribosomal RNA
Rfam family: tRNA (bases 209-281)
Source: RNAcentral
CAGGGAGACAACAAAAUGUUUAAUAUUAUUUUGUCACCUUAGGUCGAUCGGUAUCUCACAUUUUUAAUUUAUUAAAAAUUUCAUUUCCUAAGUUUUUCUAGGUCACACCCAUUAUUUUUCCUGGGCCAUUAGCUCAGGUGGUUAGAGCGCACCCCUGAUAAGGGUGAGGUCCCUGGUUCAAGUCCAGGAUGGCCCAUCUCUCUAUGUUGGGGGUAUAGCUCAGUUGGUAGAGCGCCUGCUUUGCAAGCAGGAUGUCAGCGGUUCGAGUCCGCUUACCUCCACUGAUUACCACCUCUUCCAUAAUCUUUAGAAAGGAAAUCUUUUGAGUUGUGAUCAAAUUCUGAACGAAUCUAGCUUCCUAAUGAAUUCAUUAAGAUGCUGGACUCAUUGAAUUAAUUUCAUUGUUUUCAGAGAACCUUGGCAACUGCAUAGAUUAUUUUAAAGACAAUAAGCAUCUUUAAUGAUGCAGAUUUAUUAUUUGUGCGAAUGCAUUAAUAACAAUUCUAUUAAGCUGAUGCUUCAAUUUUGAAGUUAUU